CCUACGGGGGGCUGCAGUAAGGAAUAUUGGACAAUGGCCGCAAGGCUGAUCCAGCCAUGCCGCGUGCAGGAAGACGGCCCUAUGGGUUGUAAACUGCUUUUACACCGGAGAAAACCCCCUUUCGUGAAAGGGGCUGAUAGUAUGGUGAGAAUAAGCAUCGGCUAACUUCGUGCCAGCAGCCGCGGUAAGACGAAGGAUGCAAGCGUUAUCCGGAUUCAUUGGGUUUAAAGGGAGCGUAGGUGGUCUUAUAAGUCAGUGGUGAAAUCUCGCAGCUU
Molecule: ribosomal RNA, 275 nt
Filed under: uncultured bacterium
Lineage: Bacteria
Description: partial 16S ribosomal RNA
Rfam family: Bacterial small subunit ribosomal RNA
Source: RNAcentral